This 279-nucleotide ribosomal RNA is filed under the name uncultured bacterium. Its description in RNAcentral is "partial 16S ribosomal RNA". It matches the Rfam family "Bacterial small subunit ribosomal RNA", at positions 75 to 353 of the family's 1533-position model. The record is from RNAcentral.
CUUGCUUUCUUUGCUGGCGACCGGCGCACGGGUGAGUAACACGUAUCCAACCUACCCUUUACUCGGGGAUAGCCUUUCGAAAGAAAGAUUAAUACCCGAUAGCAUAAUGAUUCCGCAUGGUUUCAUUAUUAAAGGAUUCCGGUAAAGGAUGGGGAUGCGUUCCAUUAGGUUGUUGGUGGGGUAACGGCCCACCAAGCCUUCGAUGGAUAGGGGUUCUGAGAGGAAGGUCCCCCACAUUGGAACUGAGACACGGUCCAAACUCCUACGGGAGGCAGCAUG